GGGCGGUUAGCUCAGUUGGUUAGAGCACCUGGUUUACACCCAGGGGGUCGCAGGUUCGACUCCUGCACCGCCCACCA
RNAcentral lists this transfer RNA (77 nucleotides) under Candidatus Hydrogenedentota bacterium. RNAcentral's name for it is "Candidatus Hydrogenedentes bacterium tRNA-Val". It matches the Rfam family "tRNA". From Rfam's summary of the family: Transfer RNA (tRNA) molecules are approximately 80 nucleotides in length. The record is from RNAcentral. Lineage: Bacteria; Pseudomonadati; Candidatus Hydrogenedentota.